UACGGAGGGUGCAAGCGUUAUCCGGAUUUACUGGGUUUAAAGGGCGCGUAGGCGGUCAGCACAAGUCAGUUGUGAAAUCUCCGGGCUUAACCCGGAAAGGUCAACUGAUACUGCGGGGCUAGAGUGCGGAAGGGGCAACUGGAAUUCUCGGUGUAGCGGUGAAAUGCGUAGAUAUCAGCAGGAACACCCGUGGCGAAGGCGGCUUCCUGGAUCACCCCUGACGCUGAGACGCGAAAGCGUGGGGAGCGAACGGG
This 254-nucleotide ribosomal RNA is filed under the name uncultured bacterium. RNAcentral describes it as "partial 16S ribosomal RNA". It matches the Rfam family "Bacterial small subunit ribosomal RNA", at positions 524 to 776 of the family's 1533-position model. The record is from RNAcentral.